UAGCGACAGGCUUAACACAUGCAAGCGAGGGCAGCAUAGAAGUAGCAAUACUCGGUGGCGACCGGCGCACGGGUGAGUAACGCGUAUGCAACCUACCUAUCAGAGGGGAAUAACCCGGCGAAAGUCGGACUAAUACCGCAUAAAACAGGGGCACCGCAUGGUGAUAUUUGUUAAAGAAAUUCGCUGAUAGAUGGGCAUGCGUUCCAUUAGGUAGUUGGUGAGGUAACGGCUCACCAAGCCGACGAUGGAUAGGGGAACUGAGAGGUUGGUCCCCCACACUGGUACUGAGACACGGACCAGACUCCUACGGGAGGCAGCAGUGAGGAAUAUUGGUCAAUGGGCGGGAGCCUGAACCAGCCAAGUCGCGUGAAGGGAAAAGAAGGAUCUAUGGUUCGUAAACUUCUUUUGCAGGGGAAUAAAGUGCAGGACGUGUCCUGUUUUGUAUGUACCCUGAGAAUAAGGAUCGGCUAACUCCGUGCCAGCAGCAGC
This 489-nucleotide ribosomal RNA is filed under the name uncultured bacterium. Its description in RNAcentral is "bacterial SSU rRNA". It matches the Rfam family "Bacterial small subunit ribosomal RNA", at positions 37 to 518 of the family's 1533-position model. The record is from RNAcentral.